This 207-nucleotide ribosomal RNA is filed under the name uncultured bacterium. RNAcentral's name for it is "partial 16S ribosomal RNA". It matches the Rfam family "Bacterial small subunit ribosomal RNA", at positions 568 to 774 of the family's 1533-position model. The record is from RNAcentral.
UCCGCAGGCGGAUUGGUAAGUAUCUUGUGAAAUACCAUGGCUCAACCAUGGAAUUGCUCGGUAAACUGCCAAUCUUGAACACGGUAGGGGCCAUCGGGACUCUAGGUGGAGCGGUGAAAUGCGUAGAUAUCUAGAGGAACGCCAGAGGCGAAGGCGGAUGGCUGGGCCGUUGUUGACGCUCAGGGACGAAAGCAUGGGUAGCGAACG